GGGUUGUGAGGUUAAGCGACUAAGCGUACACGGUGGAUGCCCUGGCAGUCAGAGGCGAUGAAGGACGUGCUAAUCUGCGAAAAGCGUCGGUAAGGUGAUAUGAACCGUUAUAGCCGGCGAUGUCCGAAUGGGGAAACCCAGUGUGAUUCGUCACACUAUCGUUAACUGAAUACAUAGGUUAACGAGGCGAACCGGGGGAACUGAAACAUCUAAGUACCCCGAGGAAAAGAAAUCAACCGAGAUUCCCCCAGUAGCGGCGAGCGAACGGGGAGCAGCCCAGAGUCUGAAUCAGCUUGUGUGUUAGUGGAACGGUCUGGAAAGUCCGACGGUACAGGGUGAUAGUCCCGUACACCAAAAUGCACAGGCUGUGAACUCGAAGAGUAGGGCGGGACACGUGGUAUCCUGUCUGAAUAUGGGGGGACCAUCCUCCAAGGCUAAAUACUCCUGACUGACCGAUAGUGAACCAGUACCGUGAGGGAAAGGCGAAAAGAACCCCGGCGAGGGGAGUGAAAAAGAACCUGAAACCGUGUACGUACAAGCAGUGGGAGCACCUUCGGGUGUGACUGCGUACCUUUUGUAUAAUGGGUCAGCGACUUAUAUUCUGUAGCAAGGUUAACCGUAUAGGGGAGCCGCAGGGAAACCGAGUCUUAACUGGGCGUUAAGUUGCAGGGUAUAGACCCGAAACCCGGUGAUCUAGCCAUGGGCAGGUUGAAGGUUGGGUAACACUAACUGGAGGACCGAACCGACUAAUGUUGAAAAAUUAGCGGAUGACUUGUGGCUGGGGGUGAAAGGCCAAUCAAACCGGGAGAUAGCUGGUUCUCCCCGAAAGCUAUUUAGGUAGCGCCUCGUGAACUCAUCUUCGGGGGUAGAGCACUGUUUCGGCUAGGGGGUCAUCCCGACUUACCAACCCGAUGCAAACUACGAAUACCGAAGAAUGUUAUCACGGGAGACACACGGCGGGUGCUAACGUCCGUCGUGAAGAGGGAAACAACCCAGACCGCCAGCUAAGGUCCCAAAGUCAUGGUUAAGUGGGAAACGAUGUGGGAAGGCACAGACAGCCAGGAUGUUGGCUUAGAAGCAGCCAUCAUUUAAAGAAAGCGUAAUAGCUCACUGGUCGAGUCGGCCUGCGCGGAAGAUGUAACGGGGCUAAACCAUGCACCGAAGCUGCGGCAGCGACGCUUAUGCGUUGUUGGGUAGGGGAGCGUUCUGUAAGCCUGCGAAGGUGACCUGUGAGGGUUGCUGGAGGUAUCAGAAGUGCGAAUGCUGACAUAAGUAACGAUAAAGCGGGUGAAAAGCCCGCUCGCCGGAAGACCAAGGGUUCCUGUCCAACGUUAAUCGGGGCAGGGUGAGUCGACCCCUAAGGCGAGGCCGAAAGGCGUAGUCGAUGGGAAACAGGUUAAUAUUCCUGUACUUGGUGUUACUGCGAAGGGGGGACGGAGAAGGCUAUGUUAGCCGGGCGACGGUUGUCCCGGUUUAAGCAUGUAGGCUGGUUAUCCAGGCAAAUCCGGAUAAUCAAGGCUGAGGUGUGAUGACGAGGCACUACGGUGCUGAAGUAACAAAUGCCCUGCUUCCAGGAAAAGCCUCUAAGCAUCAGGUAACAUCAAAUCGUACCCCAAACCGACACAGGUGGUCAGGUAGAGAAUACCAAGGCGCUUGAGAGAACUCGGGUGAAGGAACUAGGCAAAAUGGUGCCGUAACUUCGGGAGAAGGCACGCUGGUGUGUAGGUGAAGUCCCUGCGGAUGGAGCUGAGACCAGUCGAAGAUACCAGCUGGCUGCAACUGUUUAUUAAAAACACAGCACUGUGCAAACACGAAAGUGGACGUAUACGGUGUGACGCCUGCCCGGUGCCGGAAGGUUAAUUGAUGGGGUUAUCCGUAAGGAGAAGCUCUUGAUCGAAGCCCCGGUAAACGGCGGCCGUAACUAUAACGGUCCUAAGGUAGCGAAAUUCCUUGUCGGGUAAGUUCCGACCUGCACGAAUGGCGUAAUGAUGGCCAGGCUGUCUCCACCCGAGACUCAGUGAAAUUGAACUCGCUGUGAAGAUGCAGUGUACCCGCGGCAAGACGGAAAGACCCCGUGAACCUUUACUAUAGCUUGACACUGAACAUUGAGCCUUGAUGUGUAGGAUAGGUGGGAGGCUUUGAAGCGUGGACGCCAGUCUGCGUGGAGCCAACCUUGAAAUACCACCCUUUAAUGUUUGAUGUUCUAACGUUGGCCCCUUACCGGGGUUGCGGACAGUGUCUGGUGGGUAGUUUGACUGGGGCGGUCUCCUCCCAAAGCGUAACGGAGGAGCACGAAGGUUAGCUAAUCCUGGUCGGACAUCAGGAGGUUAGUGCAAUGGCAUAAGCUAGCUUGACUGCGAGCGUGACGGCGCGAGCAGGUGCGAAAGCAGGUCAUAGUGAUCCGGUGGUUCUGAAUGGAAGGGCCAUCGCUCAACGGAUAAAAGGUACUCCGGGGAUAACAGGCUGAUACCGCCCAAGAGUUCAUAUCGACGGCGGUGUUUGGCACCUCGAUGUCGGCUCAUCACAUCCUGGGGCUGAAGUAGGUCCCAAGGGUAUGGCUGUUCGCCAUUUAAAGUGGUACGCGAGCUGGGUUUAGAACGUCGUGAGACAGUUCGGUCCCUAUCUGCCGUGGGCGCUGGAGAAUUGAGGGGGGCUGCUCCUAGUACGAGAGGACCGGAGUGGACGCAUCACUGGUGUUCGGGUUGUCAUGCCAAUGGCACUGCCCGGUAGCUAAAUGCGGAAGAGAUAAGUGCUGAAAGCAUCUAAGCACGAAACUUGCCCCGAGAUGAGUUCUCCCUGAGACUUUAAGUCUCCUGAAGGAACGUUGAAGACGACGACGUUGAUAGGCCGGGUGUGUAAGCGCAGCGAUGCGUUGAGCUAACCGGUACUAAUGAACCGUGAGGCUUAACCUUACAACGCCGAAG
This 2924-nucleotide ribosomal RNA is filed under the name Klebsiella quasipneumoniae. Its description in RNAcentral is "23S ribosomal RNA". It matches the Rfam family "Bacterial large subunit ribosomal RNA". The record is from RNAcentral. Lineage: Bacteria; Pseudomonadati; Pseudomonadota; Gammaproteobacteria; Enterobacterales; Enterobacteriaceae.